Ovis aries (sheep) is the source of this 73-nucleotide transfer RNA. It matches the Rfam family "tRNA". From Rfam's summary of the family: Transfer RNA (tRNA) molecules are approximately 80 nucleotides in length. Their secondary structure includes four short double-helical elements and three loops (D, anti-codon, and T loops). Further hydrogen bonds mediate the characteristic L-shaped molecular structure. tRNAs have two regions of fundamental functional importance: the anti-codon, which is responsible for specific mRNA codon recognition, and the 3' end, to which the tRNAs corresponding amino acid is attached (by aminoacyl-tRNA synthetases). tRNAs cope with the degeneracy of the genetic code in two manners: having more than one tRNA (with a specific anti-codon) for a particular amino acid; and 'wobble' base-pairing, i.e. permitting non-standard base-pairing at the 3rd anti-codon position. The record is from Rfam. NCBI's taxonomy places the organism in Eukaryota, Metazoa, Chordata, Mammalia, Artiodactyla, Bovidae.
UCCCUGGUGGUCCAGUGGUUAAGACUCCACACUCCCAAUGCUGGGUGCAUAGGUUCGAUCCCUGGUCAGGGAA